This 875-nucleotide ribosomal RNA is filed under the name uncultured bacterium. RNAcentral's name for it is "bacterial SSU rRNA". It matches the Rfam family "Bacterial small subunit ribosomal RNA", at positions 60 to 930 of the family's 1533-position model. The record is from RNAcentral.
AGUCGAGCGGAUGAGAAGAGCUUGCUCUUCGAUUCAGCGGCGGACGGGUGAGUAAUGCCUAGGAAUCUGCCUGGUAGUGGGGGACAACGUUUCGAAAGGAACGCUAAUACCGCAUACGUCCUACGGGAGAAAGCAGGGGACCUUCGGGCCUUGCGCUAUCAGAUGAGCCUAGGUCGGAUUAGCUAGUUGGUGAGGUAAUGGCUCACCAAGGCGACGAUCCGUAACUGGUCUGAGAGGAUGAUCAGUCACACUGGAACUGAGACACGGUCCAGACUCCUACGGGAGGCAGCAGUGGGGAAUAUUGGACAAUGGGCGAAAGCCUGAUCCAGCCAUGCCGCGUGUGUGAAGAAGGUCUUCGGAUUGUAAAGCACUUUAAGUUGGGAGGAAGGGCAUUAACCUAAUACGUUAGUGUUUUGACGUUACCGACAGAAUAAGCACCGGCUAACUCUGUGCCAGCAGCCGCGGUAAUACAGAGGGUGCAAGCGUUAAUCGGAAUUACUGGGCGUAAAGCGCGCGUAGGUGGUUUGUUAAGUUGGAUGUGAAAGCCCCGGGCUCAACCUGGGAACUGCAUCCAAAACUGGCAAGCUAGAGUACGGUAGAGGGUGGUGGAAUUUCCUGUGUAGCGGUGAAAUGCGUAGAUAUAGGAAGGAACACCAGUGGCGAAGGCGACCACCUGGACUGAUACUGACACUGAGGUGCGAAAGCGUGGGGAGCAAACAGGAUUAGAUACCCUGGUAGUCCAUGCCGUAAACGAUGUCAACUAGCCGUUGGAAUCCUUGAGAUUUUAGUGGCGCAGCUNACGCAUUAAGUUGACCGCCUGGGGGAGUACGGNCGCAAGGUUAAAACUCNAAUGAAUUGACGGGGCCCGCACAAGC